This 74-nucleotide non-coding RNA is filed under the name uncultured Dinobryon. The record is from RNAcentral. Lineage: Eukaryota; Chrysophyceae; Chromulinales.
AAAAAGAAGAUAAGAAGGAAGAAUGAAACAGGAGUACACAUAGUUGCACAUUUUAGUUUCUUGCCCAUUUUCUG